This 206-nucleotide ribosomal RNA is filed under the name uncultured bacterium. RNAcentral's name for it is "partial 16S ribosomal RNA". It matches the Rfam family "Bacterial small subunit ribosomal RNA", at positions 524 to 730 of the family's 1533-position model. The record is from RNAcentral.
UACGAAGGGGGCUAGCGUUGUUCGGAAUUACUGGGCGUAAAGCGCACGUAGGCGGAUAUUUAAGUCAGGGGUGAAAUCCCAGAGCUCAACUCUGGAACUGCCUUUGAUACUGGGUAUCUUGAGUAUGGAAGAGGUAAGUGGAAUUGCGAGUGUAGAGGUGAAAUUCGUAGAUAUUCGGAGGAACACCAGUGGCGAAGGCGGCUACU